GUGAAAUUUGGGCGUCUCUGCUACAGAGAGCCUGUCUUCCACAUUUAACCCUGUGCACUUGACGCUCGUCUCGUGCGCUUGUCAGUCGGACUCGGCUUCCAAAAGGAAGCCAAGCCGGCGAAAACCAUUUUUUAACGCAAGUUGAUGAAUGUAAUUUUAAAUCUAAACCAAAUA
This 174-nucleotide unclassified non-coding RNA is filed under the name uncultured Rozellomycota. RNAcentral describes it as "uncultured Cryptomycota sequence contains ITS1". Lineage: Eukaryota; Fungi; Rozellomycota. The record is from RNAcentral.